CCUACGGGUGGCAGCAGUGGGGAAUAUUGCACAAUGGGCGAAAGCCUGAUGCAGCAACGCCGCGUGAAGGAAGAAGGGUUUCGGCUUGUAAACUUCUAUCAACAGGGACGAAAGAAACGACAGUACCUGAAUAAGAAGCGUCGGCUAACUACGAGCCAGCAGCCGCGGUAAUACGUAGGGGGCAAGCGUUAUCCGGAAUUACUGGGUGUAAAGGGUGAGUAGGCGGCAUGGUAAGCCAGAUGGGAAAUCCUUGGGCUUAACCCGAGGAGUGCAGUUGAAACUAUCAAGCUUGAGUACAGGAGAGGAAAGCGGAAUUCGUAGUGUAGCGGUGAAAUGCGUAGAUAUUAGGAAGAACACCAGUGGCGAAGGCGGCUUUCUGGACUGAAACUGACGCUGAGGCACGAAAGCGUGGGGAGCGAACAGGAUUAGAUACCCGAGUAGUC
This 443-nucleotide ribosomal RNA is filed under the name uncultured bacterium. RNAcentral describes it as "partial 16S ribosomal RNA". It matches the Rfam family "Bacterial small subunit ribosomal RNA", at positions 338 to 795 of the family's 1533-position model. The record is from RNAcentral.